Molecule: small RNA, 75 nt
Filed under: Xanthomonas prunicola
Lineage: Bacteria; Pseudomonadati; Pseudomonadota; Gammaproteobacteria; Lysobacterales; Lysobacteraceae
Description: sX9 sRNA
Rfam family: Xanthomonas sRNA sX9
Source: RNAcentral
AUGUCCCACGCGUACACCGCAGUUCCUUCGCGCCGUUCGCAUCCACCUGAGCACUGCUCACGCCGUUUUUCAGCG